UAGACAACCAACAGCAUCAUGAAGACAAAGAAGCUUUCAAAACAAGUCCAGGACAAAAUUCUGAGGGGAAAAGAAAAAAAAAAAACAAGGACGAGUUGCUUUUUGAGUCUGGUUCCUCGAGGUCUUAAGAUGGGGACGCUGACUUACUCUUCUGUUGUUGUAGCCUGUCCACCUCAAGCAUUGCUGCUGCUCCUCUGCUCAACAUGGGUGUAAUGUGUAGAUAUUUUAGGUACUGUGUUUUUCUUCUCCUCUGACCUCUUUCAGUAGAUGUUUCUAUCAAAAGUGCCACUCACAGGGUUGUUAUUUGUGCACCAUUUUGUGGUUUCUGAAAUGCUCAAUACUGGACAUUAUGUACCAGCAAACAUGCUGCAGCCAAAAUUACUGAAAUUACUUGGAUGUUUUUAUGCAUUGAGCUGCUGUCAUGCGAUUGGCUGACUAGAUUAUUACUGUAGUAAAGUGUAAUGAAAAUUACUAUUAAAUGCUUUCUGAUUAAUCUAACACCUUUUAAUAUACCUAGGUUUAAGAAGGAUUUCUUUCCAUCAGCAGCAUAAGUUAAUAGUUUGUCAAUGUUUGCUCAGUGUCUUUUUGUAGUUAAUCCUGAUUUCAUCUGUUUAUUUUUAUUUUUGUCUUCCACCAAAUCUUCCAUAUGCU
Long non-coding RNA from Silurus meridionalis, 651 nucleotides. RefSeq lists it as uncharacterized. The record is from RefSeq and is a predicted model, not a curated record. The transcript is spliced from 3 exons. Lineage: Eukaryota; Metazoa; Chordata; Actinopteri; Siluriformes; Siluridae.